AUACUUAUCUGACAGGGAAGAUACAAAGACCACAAAGGUGUUUUUCCUAGAGUAAAGCUUAUCUAUUGCACUCCAGAUGUGCUGCCCCCUGUGAUUUCUCCAAAUGUGAACAACUCAACUGCUUAAUUUGUGAUAAUGAAGGACUGUGUUGGCAUUCUCCCCUA
Molecule: small nuclear RNA, 164 nt
Organism: Suncus etruscus (white-toothed pygmy shrew)
Lineage: Eukaryota; Metazoa; Chordata; Mammalia; Eulipotyphla; Soricidae
Product: U1 spliceosomal RNA
Exons: 1
Source: RefSeq, a predicted model, not a curated record